AGAAACCCGCAUACGCUGGGAAACCAAAAGACGCCCUACACAAGCACGCUUGGAGCAGAAACCAAGCUGAAGAGAAAAAUCAAGAGACACAAAGCAAGAUAAUCAAACAUCCAAGUUGAAGAGGAGGAUCCUCCUUCACGAGAUUUCUGUGCGAAAUAGGUAUGGGUAUUCCUAGGCGUGGUUGUUUCAAAAUCUAAGCCAUGGGUUAUUGAUUUGGGGGUUCUGUGAUAAGUUUUGAAGAAGAAGAUCCUUCAUCGCAAGAUUUCUGCGCGAAAUAGGUAUGGGAAACUCAGAUGACAUAGGACAUGGCUAGAAAGGUGUCUGCAACAACACAAGAUGUGUGUUCUUUUUUGGUCAAAUUAGAAUAUUGUUCCUUCCACUACAAGGAAGUGUGUAGGUUUUUUUUUUAAUCAUGUACAUGUAAAACGAAACUCAAUUUUCAAGUGUCAAUAAAUUGUUCGUAAUUAUCUGCUCAAA
Long non-coding RNA from Prunus mume (Japanese apricot), 477 nucleotides. RefSeq lists it as uncharacterized. The record is from RefSeq and is a predicted model, not a curated record. Lineage: Eukaryota; Viridiplantae; Streptophyta; Magnoliopsida; Rosales; Rosaceae.